CCGUACUUCACCUAGCUUCUUGGGAACACAAAGCUUUUUUUCACUUGGAAACUUCUCAACAUACAUAUAUAUGGGUAGAUACUAGCUCCAACUCAGAUUUACAGUGAAUACUACAGGAACUUCAAACCGGCAUUAGGAAACACACUGAAAAACCAGAGUAAGUGUUUCUCCUGCAACCCGUUCCCUUUGUGCUAGAUGAAGGAACACCUCUCCAAAUGCUCAGCUCUGAUAGAUAAUCGUGUGUGAAAGCCCUACUUCACCUAGCUUGUAGGGAACACAAAGUUUCUCUUUAGUUG
Molecule: non-coding RNA, 296 nt
Organism: Vicugna pacos (alpaca)
Lineage: Eukaryota; Metazoa; Chordata; Mammalia; Artiodactyla; Camelidae
Source: RefSeq, a predicted model, not a curated record